This 76-nucleotide transfer RNA is filed under the name Gammaproteobacteria bacterium. RNAcentral's name for it is "tRNA-Asn". It matches the Rfam family "tRNA". Rfam says of the family: Transfer RNA (tRNA) molecules are approximately 80 nucleotides in length. RNAcentral also lists the same sequence under 5 other names. Lineage: Bacteria; Pseudomonadati; Pseudomonadota; Gammaproteobacteria. The record is from RNAcentral.
UCCUCGGUAGCUCAGUUGGUAGAGCGGUUGACUGUUAAUCAAUUGGUCGCUGGUUCGAGUCCGGCCCGAGGAGCCA